UAGGGAAUCUUCGGCAAUGGACGAAAGUCUGACCGAGCAACGCCGCGUGAGUGAAGAAGGCUUUCGGAUCGUAAAACUCUGUUGUUAGAGAAGAACAAGGACGUUAGUAACUGAACGUCCCCUGACGGUAUCUAACCAGAAAGCCACGGCUAACUACGUGCCAGCAGCCGCGGUAAUACGUAGGUGGCAAGCGUUGUCCGGAUUUAUUGGGCGUAAAGCGAGCGCAGGCGGUUUCUUAAGUCUGAUGUGAAAGCCCCCGGCUCAACCGGGGAGGGUCAUUGGAAACUGGGAGACUUGAGUGCAGAAGAGGAGAGUGGAAUUCCAUGUGUAGCGGUGAAAUGCGUAGAUAUAUGGAGGAACACCAGUGGCGAAGGCGGCUGUCUGGUCUGUAACUGACGCUGAGGCUCGAAAGCGUGGGGAGCAAACAGG
RNAcentral lists this ribosomal RNA (429 nucleotides) under Gemmatimonadota bacterium. RNAcentral describes it as "Gemmatimonadetes bacterium partial 16S ribosomal RNA". It matches the Rfam family "Bacterial small subunit ribosomal RNA", at positions 355 to 776 of the family's 1533-position model. Lineage: Bacteria; Pseudomonadati; Gemmatimonadota. The record is from RNAcentral.